RNAcentral lists this ribosomal RNA (429 nucleotides) under Acidobacteriota bacterium. Its description in RNAcentral is "Acidobacteria bacterium partial 16S ribosomal RNA". It matches the Rfam family "Bacterial small subunit ribosomal RNA", at positions 355 to 776 of the family's 1533-position model. The record is from RNAcentral. Lineage: Bacteria; Pseudomonadati; Acidobacteriota.
UGGGGAAUUUUGGACAAUGGGGGAAACCCUGAUCCAGCCAUCCCGCGUGUGCGAUGAAGGCAUUCGGGUUGUAAAGCACUUUUGGCAGGAAAGAAACGUCAUGGGUUAAUACCCCGUGAAACUGACGGUACCUGCAGAAUAAGCACCGGCUAACUACGUGCCAGCAGCCGCGGUAAUACGUAGGGUGCAAGCGUUAAUCGGAAUUACUGGGCGUAAAGCGUGCGCAGGCGGUUCGGAAAGAAAGAUGUGAAAUCCCAGAGCUCAACUUUGGAACUGCAUUUUUAACUACCGGGCUAGAGUGUGUCAGAGGGAGGUGGAAUUCCGCGUGUAGCAGUGAAAUGCGUAGAUAUGCGGAGGAACACCGAUGGCGAAGGCAGCCUCCUGGGAUAACACUGAAGCUCAUGCACGAAAGCGUGGGGAGCAAACAGG